This 426-nucleotide unclassified non-coding RNA is filed under the name Athalia rosae (coleseed sawfly). RNAcentral's name for it is "misc RNA ENSAEAG00005004631.1". Lineage: Eukaryota; Metazoa; Arthropoda; Insecta; Hymenoptera; Athaliidae. The record is from RNAcentral.
AUUUUCGUCAAGAGCGUCGUAAUCCUCGCGUGCGUGCGUGUAUACUCACGUUGAACUCUGGUCGUGUUGGGUCGGUAGCGUCUGUGUUCCCUGUCCCAAGUUUCGGGGUGCCGUUUCCAGUCUUCGUCGCCGAGGAGUCCGGUUCCUCCACCGCCCCCUCCGCCACCUCCGAGACCCUGGAGACCUUGGAGAGUCUGAAGCGCCUGGAGCGUCGGAGCGCUCGGUCUCGAUCUGACGGAAGGCAAGGAUUCGAAGUCAAGGAUAACGUGCUGGCUGCGGAAAUCGUCCGCCUUGCACGCGGAAGAACCGAUCUCUGCCGUACGCUGGAAUGUAUCUGCUGAUGUUCUUUUUUUCCCAUUCGCUUUUUUCCCUCCUUCAAAGAUCGAACCGCAAUUUAGAUUAAACUUCCGAACGCGGACAAAUAAG